Long non-coding RNA from Sinocyclocheilus anshuiensis, 450 nucleotides. RefSeq lists it as uncharacterized. Lineage: Eukaryota; Metazoa; Chordata; Actinopteri; Cypriniformes; Cyprinidae. The transcript has 3 exons. The record is from RefSeq and is a predicted model, not a curated record.
CCAAAUAAUCUGUAUGUCCAUGCUACUGACAGUGGAUAUAAUAAAGAGGCAGCAGAGAGCUUCAGUUUCUUUUCCCAAGCCUGCCGGCAAGAUUUUGACCUGAGGAAAGACAGAAAGUCAAGAAUACUCGUGACCCUCAAGAUUGCUAGCGCCAACUUUCUUAACAUAAAGGAAACAGAUACGCCUGUGAUAAACAGUUUUGCACCACAUUUCCGCCGGUCAUGGGGGACACCACUUGGAGUUGCACAAAAAACGUCCGUCACGGAUUGUCUUCCUCGCAAAUUUGAAUUAGUGCCCUGAUUACACUGAGAGGGGUGAGUGGGACACAGAUGGAUUAUGGACUGGAUCUGUAACUGAUGCCGCUGCCAGCUUCAAAUGGAAAAGACAAAGCGUUAGCUGGCAUUUCUUGUUUUCACACACACAUGCUUGUAAUAAUCAUGUUUGUGUUGC